Molecule: ribosomal RNA, 253 nt
Filed under: uncultured bacterium
Lineage: Bacteria
Description: partial 16S ribosomal RNA
Rfam family: Bacterial small subunit ribosomal RNA
Source: RNAcentral
UACGUAGGUGGCGAGCGUUGUCCGGAAUCACUGGGCGUAAAGGGCGCGUAGGCGGCAAUACAAGUCGCAUGUGAAAGACCAGGGCUCAACCUUGGGAGGUCAUGCGAAACUGUAUAGCUUGAGUGUAGUAGAGGAAAGCGGAAUUCCUGGUGUAGCGGUAAAAUGCGUAGAGAUCAGGAGGAACACCGGUGGCGAAGGCGGCUUUCUGGGCUACAACUGACGCUGAGGCGCGAAAGCGUGGGGAGCAAACAGG